Molecule: small nucleolar RNA, 201 nt
Organism: Suncus etruscus (white-toothed pygmy shrew)
Lineage: Eukaryota; Metazoa; Chordata; Mammalia; Eulipotyphla; Soricidae
Product: small nucleolar RNA SNORA23
Exons: 1
Source: RefSeq, a predicted model, not a curated record
UAUGCCCUUUGAAAUCAUUUUCCACCUGGUUGUAAUGCUUUAGGGUGAUGUGUAGAGUAUGGAGAUAGAAGGCAACCUCACUUCUCACACAAACAUCAAGAACAUCAAGUAGACAAAGAGUAAACUUGGGAUCAUAGUACUGGUCUAGUGUUGUCUUUUCAGACAUCUACCACUGACCAGCCUCCAAAUUCCCACACAUGA